UCUGAGUCCUGGGGGGUCCUGGGGGGUCCUGGGGGCUCCAGGAUGCCUGGUCUGUGCUUGGAGGGGUUUGUUGCUUGGGACUCAGCCCGCUCUCGGGUGUCUGUCCCCCAGUAAAUUCUGGGAGGGUUCUCUGCAAAGGCAGGUAGGUUAGCUCUGUACAAUGCAUCUUCCUGUGUGCCCAGCCUUGGGUUGUCCCAUUAGACGUGCAUUGUGUUCUUUUUAAUUUCUCACACUAAGCCUCUGAGAUUGGUACUAUAACAUUCCCAUUUUACAGUCGAGGAAACUGAGGCUCAGAGAACAGCACUCAUUGGCCCCAGGCUCUGAGCUCACCCACGCUGAGGCCUGGCUUCCCUGCGCCCUAAGUGCGCAUGUUAGGGCUCACCUGGGUAGGGCAGGCAGGGGUGGGCGAACCUUCUUCGUACUUGAUAGACAGCAGGUACUAGUUCUCCUGAACUCUUUUACAUUCUUCAGAAACCCACACAAUGAGGAAGGUCUUUUGUUUCUUUUCCCAAUUAUUUUUUUCUACUCACAGAAGUACCAGAUUUGAGUACCAAACAUGGAAAUCAUAAAGUAUUUGUCCAUUUUGUGACAUUUUAUAUCACUUUAUAAUACAUGAUACAUCAUGUAUCUUAAAGACUGGUCAGCAGUUUUUUGUUUUUUGUUUUUUUUGACUGUGGCUGGUGACUUGUGGGAUCUCAGUUUCUCGACCAGGGAUUGAACCCACGUCACCACAGUGAAAGCUUGGAAUCCUAACCACUAGGCCACCAGGGAACACCCAGCGUCUUUUAUUAUUACUUAAUAUUUCUUGGACAUCUUCUGGGUCACUGUGUACAGAUAUGAGGUACAGUUGAAGCCUCUUCCCCAAUCUCAUUUUCUUCCGUCUCUAGAUGAAAUUCUCAGCUUGAUUUUGGGGCUCUCCUUGCACUUGGUAAAGAAUUUGCCUGCAAUGCAGGAGCUUCAGGAGAUGCAGGUUCGAUUCCUGGGUCAGGAAGAUCCUCUGGAGGAGGAAAUGGCAACUCACUCCAGGAUUCUUGGCUGGGAAAUCGCACGAGCAGAGGAGCCUUAGAAGGCUGCAGUCCAUGGGGUCGCAAAAAGCUGGGCAUGACUUACGGCUAAACAACAACAUGCAUGUUUCUGAUACCUUUGCCGCACUUGGGUAUAUACAUUGCAGAAAACCUUAGAUACUGUGUGUAUUCUAUAGCUUCUUUUGGGGUUCGACAUUGUUUUGGGAAGGAAAUGACAACCCACUCCAGUAUUCUUGCCUGGAAAAUCCCAUGCAUUGGAGGAGACUUGUGAGCUACAGUCCAUGGGGUCUCAAAGAGUUGGCCUUGACUAAGACUCUUGAGAGUCCCUUGGACUGCAAGAAGAUCCAACCAAUCCAUCCUAAAGGAGAUCAGUCCUGGGUGUUCAUUGGAAGGACUGAUGCUGAAGCUGAAACUCUAAUACUUUGGCUACCUCAUGCGAAGAGUUGACUCGUUGGAAAAGACCCUGAUGCUGGGAGGGAUUGGGGGCAGGAGGAGAAGGGGACAACAGAGGAUGAGAUGGCUGGAUGGCGUCACCGACUCGAUGGACAUGAGUUGGAGUAAACUCUGGGAGUUGGUGAUAGACAGGGAGGCCUGGCGUGCUGCGAUUCAUGGGGUCGCAAAGAGUCGGACACGACUGAGCGACUGAACUGAACUGAAGCGACUUCACUUUUAACUUUUUUUUUCAUGUUGAUACAUGUUGAUACUUUUAUUGCUUUAGCAUUUCACUGUAUUCUCAGAGUAAUUCGUCCUUUCUCCUGUUGUUGGAUAUCUAGGUUUUUGACUUUUUGCUAUCAGGAACAACUCUGGAGUGAUCAUUUUUGUCUAUGGCUUCACACAUACAUGUAAGGCAACUCUCAGAGCCUUAGGAGCAAAAUUGCUGGGUCGGAGGAUGCAUGCUAUCUUCUCAUCUAAGGAUUCAAUAUUUUUUGCCAAUCGCAGGGGAGUGAAAUGGCUGGUGAUUGUCUUAAUUUGCAUUCCCUGAUUAACAAUGAGAUUAAGAAUUAUUUCAUACAUGAAUUUCUAUUUGUGUUUUUUUUCCCUGUGAAUUGUCUAUUCAUGUUUUGCCAUUUUUUUCCCUGUUGGUUUGUCUUUUCUGUGUAUCUGGAGUUCUGUCUUUGUUCUGGGUAUUAAUCCUUUGGCAGGUGAACCCACUGCAAGUAUCUCCAGGUCUGUGGGUGCAUUUCACUUACCUAGGUCCUUUGAUGUGUGUCCAUUUUAACUGUAAUGUGAUCGGUAGAUGAGCCUCUUCCUGUAAGGAUUUAUAUUCAUUUGGGAUAAGAGAUCUUUCCCUGUCUUAAAGACAUUAAGGUGGUCUGUUAGAUUUUUCUUUAAACAUUUGCAAGUUUUGCCUUAGGUCUUGAAUUCAUUGGAAUUUAUUUCCUGCAAGUUGGUGGAUGGGGCUGAGCUUUUCUUCUGUGGGUAACUAAGCCAGCUCCAUUUAUGGACACCCAUUCUCUACCCCCUGGCCUGCAAAGUCGACACUGCCAUGUCUGUGUUUCCAGAAAUUUCUAGGUCUCUUUUAGGCUGCUCUUCUAGUCCCCUGGUCCAUCCAUCCAUCCCCACAUCAACGCCGAAUUGGCCGAAUUCCGAGGCCUUUAUAGUGGGUCUCCUCCCUGUUAUUCUUCCCAGGUGUCAUAGCUGUUCUUGAUCCUUGGGAAUUUUGAUUUUUAAAAAUCUUUUUUUCUUAAUUCCCUGACUAACGUAUUCUUAUAACAGAAAACGGAGGUAAGUUUGGGGUUAAUAAAACAGAUUAUAAACAUCAGUCUAAA
Dama dama (fallow deer) is the source of this 2794-nucleotide long non-coding RNA. RefSeq lists it as uncharacterized. The record is from RefSeq and is a predicted model, not a curated record. NCBI's taxonomy places the organism in Eukaryota, Metazoa, Chordata, Mammalia, Artiodactyla, Cervidae. The transcript has 2 exons.